CAGCACCUCAAGUGGUCAGGAUGAUUAUUGGGCCUAAAGCAUCCGUAGCCUGUUCUGUAAGUUUCCGGUUAAAUCCAUUAGCUCAACUAAUGGGCUGCCGAAAAUACUGCAAAACUAGGGAGUGGGAGAGGUAGACGGUACUCGGUAGGAAGGGGUAAAAUCCUUUGAUCUAUUGAUGACCACCUGUGGCGAAGGCGGUCUACCAGAACACGUUCGACGGUGAGGGAUGAAAGCUGGGGGAGCAAACCGGAUUAGAUACCCGCGUAGUCC
RNAcentral lists this ribosomal RNA (270 nucleotides) under uncultured archaeon. RNAcentral's name for it is "partial 16S ribosomal RNA". It matches the Rfam family "Archaeal small subunit ribosomal RNA", at positions 477 to 747 of the family's 1478-position model. The record is from RNAcentral.